RNAcentral lists this ribosomal RNA (426 nucleotides) under uncultured bacterium. Its description in RNAcentral is "partial 16S ribosomal RNA". It matches the Rfam family "Bacterial small subunit ribosomal RNA", at positions 354 to 796 of the family's 1533-position model. The record is from RNAcentral.
GUGAGGAAUUUUCCGCAAUGGGCGAACGCCUGACGGAGCAAUGCCGCGUGAAGGAUGAAGGCCUAUGGGUUGUAAACUUCUUUUCUCAGAAAAGAAUUAUGACGGUAUCUGAGGAAUAAGCAUCGGCUAACUCUGUGCCAGCAGCCGCGGUAAGACAGAGGAUGCAAGCGUUAUCCGGAAUGAUUGGGCGUAAAGCGUCUGUAGGUUGUUUAAAAAGUAUUCUGUCAAAGAUUAGGGCUUAACCCUAGAUAGGCAGAAUAAACUUUUAAGCUAGAGUUUGGUAGAGGCAGAGGGAAUUCCCGGUGGAGCGGUGAAAUGCGUAGAUAUCGGGAGGAACACCAAAGGCGAAGGCACUCUGCUGGGCCAAUACUAACACUGAGAGACGAAAGCGAGGGGAGCAAAUGGGAUUAGAAACCCUUGUAGUCC